AGUAGCAUAUCAAUAAGCGGAGGAAAAGAAACUAACAAGGAUUCCCCUAGUAACGGCGAGUGAAGCGGGAAGAGCUCAAAUUUGAAAUCUGGCGGUCUCAGGCCGUCCGAGUUGUAAUCUAGAGAGGUGUUUUCCGUGCCGGACCGUGUACAAGUCCCUUGGAACAGGGCGUCAUAGAGGGUGAGAAUCCCGUCCAUGACACGGACUACCGGUGCUCUGUGAUACACCUUCAAAGAGUCGAGUUGUUUGGGAAUGCAGCUCAAAAUGGGUGGUAAAUUCCAUCUAAAGCUAAAUACAGGCGAGAGACCGAUAGCGAACAAGUACCGUGAGGGAAAGAUGAAAAGAACUUUGGAAAGAGAGUUAAACAGUACGUGAAAUUGUUGAAAGGGAAACGCUUGAAGUCAGUCGCGUCUGCCAGGACUCAGCCUUGCUUCUGCUUGGUGCAUUUCUUGGUGGAUGGGCCAGCAUCGAUUUUGAUUGCCGGAAAAGGGCGGGAGGAAUGUGGCAGCUUUUGCUGUGUUAUAGCCUUCCGUCGUACACGGUGGUUGGGAUCGAGGACUGCAGCACGCCUUUGGUCGGGGUUCGCCCACGCCACGUGCUUAGGAUGCUGGCGUAAUGGCUUUAAACGACCCGUCUUGAAACACGGACCAAGGAGUCUAACAUGCCUGCGAGUGUUUGGGUGCAAAACCCAGGCGCGUAAUGAAAGUGAAAAGUUGGGACUCUUUAGUGAGGCACCGACGCCCGACCCUGAAGUCUUCUGACGGGUUUGAGGCAGAGCAUGUAUGUUGGGACCCGAAAGAUGGUGAACUAUGCCUGAAUAGGGUGAAGCCAGAGGAAACUCUGGUGGAGGCUCGUAGCGAUUCUGACGUGCAAAUCGAUCGUCAAAUUUGGGUAUAGGGGCGAAAGACUAAUCGAACCAUCUAGUAGCUGGUUCCUGCGAUCU
This 943-nucleotide ribosomal RNA is filed under the name Auricularia sp. Its description in RNAcentral is "partial large subunit ribosomal RNA". It matches the Rfam family "Eukaryotic large subunit ribosomal RNA", at positions 33 to 969 of the family's 3401-position model. Lineage: Eukaryota; Fungi; Basidiomycota; Agaricomycetes; Auriculariales; Auriculariaceae. The record is from RNAcentral.